UGAACGCUAGCGGCAGGCUUAACACAUGCAAGUCGAGGGGCAGCGCGAGUAGUAAUACUUGGCGGCGACCGGCGCACGGGUGCGUAACGCGUAUGCAACCUACCUAUAACUGGAGAAUAGGUCUCGGAAACGGGAAUUAAUGCUCCAUAAUAUUCUUUAUCCUCAUGGAUUUUGAAUUAAAGCUCCGGCGGUUAUAGAUGGGCAUGCGUAACAUUAGGUAGUUGGUGAGGUAACGGCUCACCAAGCCAACGAUGUUUAGGGGUUCUGAGAGGAUUAUCCCCCACACUGGUACUGAGACACGGACCAGACUCCUACGGGAGGCAGCAGUGAGGAAUAUUGGUCAAUGGACGCAAGUCUGAACCAGCCAUGCCGCGUGCAGGAUGACAGCUCUAGUAGUUGUAAACUGCUUUUAUUUGGGAAGAAACCCUCCUAUGUAUAGGGGGCUGACGGUACCAUUUGAAUAAGCACCGGCUAACUCC
Molecule: ribosomal RNA, 479 nt
Filed under: uncultured bacterium
Lineage: Bacteria
Description: bacterial SSU rRNA
Rfam family: Bacterial small subunit ribosomal RNA
Source: RNAcentral